GACGAACGCUGGCGGCGUGCUUAGCACAUGCAAGUCGAACGGAAAGGCCCUGCUAUUGUGGGGUGCUCGAGGGGCGAACGGGUGAGUAACACGUGAGUAACCUGCCCUAGACUUUGGGGUAACUUCAGGAAACUGGGGCUAAUACCGGACAGGAGACCCCGCUGCAGGGAGGGGGUGGGAAAGUUUCGGCGGGUGGGGAUGGACUCGCGGCUUAUGAGCUUGCUGGUGGGGUAGGGGCUUACCGAGGCAUUGGCGGGUAGCCGGCCUGAGAGGGAGACCGGCCACCUUGGGACUGCGGUACGCCCCAGACUCCUACGUUGGACAGCAGUGGGGAGUAUUGCACAAUGGGCGGAAGCCUGAUGCGGCGACGCCGCGUUCGUAAUGACGGCCUUCGGGUUGUGAACCGCUUUAGCCUGUGACGAAGCGUUAGUGACGGUACUGGGUAAAUAAGCACCGGCUAACUACGUG
Molecule: ribosomal RNA, 468 nt
Filed under: uncultured bacterium
Lineage: Bacteria
Description: partial 16S ribosomal RNA
Rfam family: Bacterial small subunit ribosomal RNA
Source: RNAcentral